GACGAAGGGGGCUAGCGUUGUUCGGAAUUACUGGGCGUAAAGCGCACGUAGGCGGAUUGCUAAGUCAGGGGUGAAAUCCUGGAGCUCAACUCCAGAACUGCCUUUGAUACUGGCGACCUUGAGUCCGGGAGAGGUGAGUGGAACUGCGAGUGUAGAGGUGAAAUUCGUAGAUAUUCGCAAGAACACCAGUGGCGAAGGCGGCUCACUGGCCCGGUACUGACGCUGAGGUGCGAAAGCGUGGGGAGCAAACAGG
RNAcentral lists this ribosomal RNA (253 nucleotides) under uncultured bacterium. Its description in RNAcentral is "partial 16S ribosomal RNA". It matches the Rfam family "Bacterial small subunit ribosomal RNA", at positions 524 to 776 of the family's 1533-position model. The record is from RNAcentral.